Molecule: transfer RNA, 73 nt
Filed under: Zootermopsis nevadensis
Lineage: Eukaryota; Metazoa; Arthropoda; Insecta; Blattodea; Termopsidae
Rfam family: tRNA
About the family: Transfer RNA (tRNA) molecules are approximately 80 nucleotides in length.
Source: Rfam by way of RNAcentral
AGAUCGGUGGUCUAGCGGUCAGAACACUAGCCUUGUAAGCCUGGGGUCCCGGGUUCAAUUCCCGGUGGUGCUC